CUACGAGUGGCAGCAGUGGGGAAUUUUGGACAAUGGGCGAAAGCCUGAUCCAGCAAUACCGCGUGCAGGAAGAAGGCCCUCGGGUUGUAAACUGCUUUUGUACGGAACGAAACGGCGCGCUCUAAUAAAGUGCGCUAAUGACGGUACCGUAAGAAUAAGCACCGGCUAACUACGUGCCAGCAGCCGCGGUAAUACGUAGGGUGCGAGCGUUAAUCGGAAUUACUGGGCGUAAAGCGUGCGCAGGCGGUUUGGUAAGACAGGCGUGAAAUCCCCGGGCUCAACCUGGGAAUUGCGCUUGUGACUGCAAGGCUAGAGUACGGUAGAGGGGGGUAGAAUUCCGCGUGUAGCAGUGAAAUGCGUAGAUAUGCGGAGGAACACCGAUGGCGAAGGCAGCCCCCUGGACCUGUACUGACGCUCAUGCACGAAAGCGUGGGGAGCAAACAGGAUUAGAUACCCCCGUAGUC
RNAcentral lists this ribosomal RNA (464 nucleotides) under uncultured bacterium. Its description in RNAcentral is "partial 16S ribosomal RNA". It matches the Rfam family "Bacterial small subunit ribosomal RNA", at positions 339 to 795 of the family's 1533-position model. The record is from RNAcentral.